RNAcentral lists this ribosomal RNA (380 nucleotides) under uncultured bacterium. Its description in RNAcentral is "bacterial SSU rRNA". It matches the Rfam family "Bacterial small subunit ribosomal RNA", at positions 29 to 412 of the family's 1533-position model. The record is from RNAcentral.
AUUGAACGCUGGCGGCAUGCCUUACACAUGCAAGUCGAACGGUAACGCGGGGCAACCUGGCGACGAGUGGCGAACGGGUGAGUAAUACAUCGGAACGUGCCCAGUAGUGGGGGAUAGCCCGGCGAAAGCCGGAUUAAUACCGCAUACGACCUACGGGUGAAAGCAGGGGAUCGCAAGACCUUGCGCUAUUGGAGCGGCCGAUGUCAGAUUAGGUUGUUGGUGGGGUAAAAGCCUACCAAGCCGACGAUCUGUAGCUGGUCUGAGAGGACGACCAGCCACACUGGGACUGAGACACGGCCCAGACUCCUACGGGAGGCAGCAGUGGGGAAUUUUGGACAAUGGGCGCAAGCCUGAUCCAGCCAUGCCGCGUGCGGGAAGAA